This 1318-nucleotide ribosomal RNA is filed under the name unidentified marine bacterioplankton. RNAcentral's name for it is "bacterial SSU rRNA". It matches the Rfam family "Bacterial small subunit ribosomal RNA", at positions 31 to 1339 of the family's 1533-position model. The record is from RNAcentral.
GAACGCUGGCGGUAGGCCUAACACAUGCAAGUCGAGCGGCAGCGGAAAGUAGCUUGCUACUUUGCCGGCGAGCGGCGGACGGGUGAGUAAUGUCUGGGAAACUGCCUGAUGGAGGGGGAUAACUACUGGAAACGGUAGCUAAUACCGCAUAACGUCGCAAGACCAAAGAGGGGGACCUUCGGGCCUCUUGCCAUCAGAUGUGCCCAGAUGGGAUUAGCUAGUAGGUGGGGUAACGGCUCACCUAGGCGACGAUCCCUAGCUGGUCUGAGAGGAUGACCAGCCACACUGGAACUGAGACACGGUCCAGACUCCUACGGGAGGCAGCAGUGGGGAAUAUUGCACAAUGGGCGCAAGCCUGAUGCAGCCAUGCCGCGUGUAUGAAGAAGGCCUUCGGGUUGUAAAGUACUUUCAGCGGGGAGGAAGGCGAUAAGGUUAAUAACCUUGUCGAUUGACGUUACCCGCAGAAGAAGCACCGGCUAACUCCGUGCCAGCAGCCGCGGUAAUACGGAGGGUGCAAGCGUUAAUCGGAAUUACUGGGCGUAAAGCGCACGCAGGCGGUCUGUCAAGUCGGAUGUGAAAUCCCCGGGCUCAACCUGGGAACUGCAUUCGAAACUGGCAGGCUAGAGUCUUGUAGAGGGGGGUAGAAUUCCAGGUGUAGCGGUGAAAUGCGUAGAGAUCUGGAGGAAUACCGGUGGCGAAGGCGGCCCCCUGGACAAAGACUGACGCUCAGGUGUGAAAGCGUGGGGAGCAGACAGGAUUAGAUACCCUGGUAGUCCACGCCGUAAACGAUGUCGACUUGGAGGUUGUGCCCUUGAGGCGUGGCUUCCGGAGCUAACGCGUUAAGUCGACCGCCUGGGGAGUACGGCCGCAAGGUUAAAACUCAAAUGAAUUGACGGGGGCCCGCACAAGCGGUGGAGCAUGUGGUUUAAUUCGAUGCAACGCGAAGAACCUUACCUACUCUUGACAUCCAGAGAACUUUCCAGAGAUGGAUUGGUGCCUUCGGGAACUCUGAGACAGGUGCUGCAUGGCUGUCGUCAGCUCGUGUUGUGAAAUGUUGGGUUAAGUCCCGCAACGAGCGCAACCCUUAUCCUUUGUUGCCAGCGGUCCGGCCGGGAACUCAAAGGAGACUGCCAGUGAUAAACUGGAGGAAGGUGGGGAUGACGUCAAGUCAUCAUGGCCCUUACGAGUAGGGCUACACACGUGCUACAAUGGCGCAUACAAAGAGAAGCGACCUCGCGAGAGCAAGCGGACCUCAUAAAGUGCGUCGUAGUCCGGAUUGGAGUCUGCAACUCGACUCCAUGAAGUCGGAAUCGCUAGU